CUACGUAGGGGGCGAGCGUUGUCCGGAAUGAUUGGGCGUAAAGGGCGCGUAGGCGGCCCGGUAAGUCUGGAGUGAAAGUCCUGUUUUUAAGAUGGGAAUUGCUUUGGAUACUGUCGGGCUUGAGUGCAGGAGAGGUAAGUGGAAUUCCCAGUGUAGCGGUUAAAUGCGUAGAGAUUGGGAGGAACACCAGUGGCGAAGGCGACUUACUGGACUGUAACUGACGCUGAGGCGCGAAAGUGUGGGGAGCAAACAGGAUUAGAUACCCUGGUAGUCCACACUGUAAACGAUGAAUGCUAGGUGUAGGGGGUAUCGACCCCUUCUGUGCCGCAGUCAACACAAUAAGCAUUCCGCCUGGGGAGUACGGCCGCAAGGUUGAAACUCAAAUGAAUUGACGGGG
Molecule: ribosomal RNA, 397 nt
Filed under: uncultured bacterium
Lineage: Bacteria
Description: partial 16S ribosomal RNA
Rfam family: Bacterial small subunit ribosomal RNA
Source: RNAcentral